Pelobates cultripes (western spadefoot toad) is the source of this 292-nucleotide non-coding RNA. NCBI's taxonomy places the organism in Eukaryota, Metazoa, Chordata, Amphibia, Anura, Pelobatidae. The record is from the annotation of a GenBank genome assembly.
AGCAACUUAAAAACGAUUUGCCAAAAACAAAAUGUGAAGGACUGUGCCCAUAGCUUCUACCUAUUUUACUUCCAUCUGCUGAACGUGUACCAUGUAAAGUGCCAAGUACACCUGGUAACACUAUAUAAAUAUCACCAACCUCCUCUAGAUUAUAACCUCAUUUGAGCAGGGUUCUCAUCAACCUAUUGUUCCUGUAACAAUUUCUAAUUGUCUCAUUUACUGUUACAUGUCCCCCUUUUAUAAUAUUGUAAAACGCUGUGGAAUAAGUUGGUGCUAUAUAAAUGACAAAAAU